AUUGAACGCUGGCGGCAUGCCUUACACAUGCAAGUCGAACGGUAACAGGUCUUCGGAUACUGACGAGUGGCGAACGGGUGAGUAAUACAUCGGAACGUGCCCAGACGUGGGGGAUAACGAGGCGAAAGCUUUGCUAAUACCGCAUACGAUCUAAGGAUGAAAGCAGGGGACCGCAAGGCCUUGUGCGUUUGGAGCGGCCGAUGGCAGAUUAGGUAGUUGGUGGGAUAAAAGCUUACCAAGCCGACGAUCUGUAGCUGGUCUGAGAGGACGACCAGCCACACUGGGACUGAGACACGGCCCAGACUCCUACGGGAGGCAGCAGUGGGGAAUUUUGGACAAUGGGCGAAAGCCUGAUCCAGCAAUGCCGCGUGCAGGAUGAAGGCCUUCGGGUUGUAAACUGCUUUUGUACGGAACGAAAAGGCUCUGGCUAAUACCUGGGGCACAUGACGGUACCGUAAGAAUAAGCACCGGCUAACUACGUG
RNAcentral lists this ribosomal RNA (482 nucleotides) under uncultured bacterium. Its description in RNAcentral is "partial 16S ribosomal RNA". It matches the Rfam family "Bacterial small subunit ribosomal RNA", at positions 30 to 507 of the family's 1533-position model. The record is from RNAcentral.